RNAcentral lists this small nuclear RNA (106 nucleotides) under Prolemur simus (greater bamboo lemur). The record is from RNAcentral. Lineage: Eukaryota; Metazoa; Chordata; Mammalia; Primates; Lemuridae.
GUGCUCAUUUCAGCAGCACAUAUACUAAAAUUGGAAUGAUACGGAGAAGAUUAGCAUGGCCCCACACAAGGAUGACAUGCAGAUUUGUAAAGCAUUACAUAUUUAA